Molecule: ribosomal RNA, 582 nt
Filed under: uncultured Glomus
Lineage: Eukaryota; Fungi; Glomeromycota; Glomeromycetes; Glomerales; Glomeraceae
Description: bacterial SSU rRNA
Rfam family: Eukaryotic small subunit ribosomal RNA
Source: RNAcentral
GGCCGCGGGAAUUCGAUUUUGGAGGGCAAGUCUGGUGCCAGCAGCCGCGGUAAUUCCAGCUCCAAUAGCGUAUAUUAAAGUUGUUGCAGUUAAAAAGCUCGUAGUUGAAUUUUAGGCCUGGCCGGACGGUCCGUCUCUGGCGAGUACUGUUCUGUCGUCGGGUCUAUCCUUCUGGUGAGCCGGUAUGUUCUUAAUUGGGCGUGUCGGGGAACCAGGACCAUUACCUUGAAAAAAUUAGAGUGUUUAAAGCAGGCUUUUGCUUGAAUAGAUUAGCAUGGAAUAAUAGAAUAGGACGUGUGGUUCUAUUUUGUUGGUUUCUAGGACCGCCGUAAUGAUUAAUAGGGACAGUCGGGGGCAUCAGUAUUCAAUUGUCAGAGGUGAAAUUCUUGGAUUUAUUGAAGACUAACUACUGCGAAAGCAUUUGCCAAGGAUGUUUUCAUUAAUCAGGAACGAAAGUUAGGGGAUCGAAGACGAUCAGAUACCGUCGUAGUCUUAACCAUAAACUAUGCCGACUAGGGAUCGGACGAUGUUACAUUUUUGACGCGUUCGGCGCCUUACGGGAAACAAUCACUAGUGAAUUCG